Molecule: long non-coding RNA, 300 nt
Organism: Micropterus dolomieu (smallmouth bass)
Lineage: Eukaryota; Metazoa; Chordata; Actinopteri; Centrarchiformes; Centrarchidae
Exons: 3
Source: RefSeq, a predicted model, not a curated record
UUUAUUGUUGCAGCUUCUUUUCUCCACCAGGACCUCCAGCUGAAGGUGAAAGUGGAUGUGAGUUGAGCAGCAUGAGUCAGUGUGAGGACAGAGAGGAGGGAGUCCCUCCCUCUAAAAGCACUCUGUGUGGGGAACAUGACAGCCAGACCAAAGCUCAGAGCCCAGAGCAGCAGCAGGGACCGGACUCUGCUGGACCUGGACCUGAGCCCAGCUGUGUGUCCUUCAACAGUGACCGGUCAAAUCCUCGCCAUAUUAAUUUUAAAGGACGACAACCCUCUGCUGGACCUGGACCUGGACCUG